RNAcentral lists this ribosomal RNA (255 nucleotides) under uncultured bacterium. RNAcentral's name for it is "partial 16S ribosomal RNA". It matches the Rfam family "Bacterial small subunit ribosomal RNA", at positions 526 to 779 of the family's 1533-position model. The record is from RNAcentral.
CAGAGGGUGCGAGCGUUAAUCGGAAUUACUGGGACGUAAAGCGAGUGUAGGUGGCUCAUUAAGUCACAUGUGAAAAUCCCCGGGCUUAACCUGGGAACUGCAUGUGAUACUGGUGGUGCUAGAAUAUGUGAGGGGGAAGUAGAAUUCCAGGUGUAGCGGUGAAAUGCGUAGAGAUCUGGAGGAAUACCGAUGGCGAAGGCAGCUUCCUGGCAUAAUAUUGACACUGAGAUUCGAAGCGUGGUAGCAAACAGGAUU